This 1346-nucleotide ribosomal RNA is filed under the name Staphylococcus aureus DAR3163. Its description in RNAcentral is "bacterial SSU rRNA". It matches the Rfam family "Bacterial small subunit ribosomal RNA", at positions 196 to 1528 of the family's 1533-position model. Lineage: Bacteria; Bacillati; Bacillota; Bacilli; Caryophanales; Staphylococcaceae. The record is from RNAcentral.
AAAAGUAAAAGACGGUCUUGCUGUCACUUAUAGAUGGAUCCGCGCUGCAUUAGCUAGUUGGUAAGGUAACGGCUUACCAAGGCAACGAUGCAUAGCCGACCUGAGAGGGUGAUCGGCCACACUGGAACUGAGACACGGUCCAGACUCCUACGGGAGGCAGCAGUAGGGAAUCUUCCGCAAUGGGCGAAAGCCUGACGGAGCAACGCCGCGUGAGUGAUGAAGGUCUUCGGAUCGUAAAACUCUGUUAUUAGGGAAGAACAUAUGUGUAAGUAACUGUGCACAUCUUGACGGUACCUAAUCAGAAAGCCACGGCUAACUACGUGCCAGCAGCCGCGGUAAUACGUAGGUGGCAAGCGUUAUCCGGAAUUAUUGGGCGUAAAGCGCGCGUAGGCGGUUUUUUAAGUCUGAUGUGAAAGCCCACGGCUCAACCGUGGAGGGUCAUUGGAAACUGGAAAACUUGAGUGCAGAAGAGGAAAGUGGAAUUCCAUGUGUAGCGGUGAAAUGCGCAGAGAUAUGGAGGAACACCAGUGGCGAAGGCGACUUUCUGGUCUGUAACUGACGCUGAUGUGCGAAAGCGUGGGGAUCAAACAGGAUUAGAUACCCUGGUAGUCCACGCCGUAAACGAUGAGUGCUAAGUGUUAGGGGGUUUCCGCCCCUUAGUGCUGCAGCUAACGCAUUAAGCACUCCGCCUGGGGAGUACGACCGCAAGGUUGAAACUCAAAGGAAUUGACGGGGACCCGCACAAGCGGUGGAGCAUGUGGUUUAAUUCGAAGCAACGCGAAGAACCUUACCAAAUCUUGACAUCCUUUGACAACUCUAGAGAUAGAGCCUUCCCCUUCGGGGGACAAAGUGACAGGUGGUGCAUGGUUGUCGUCAGCUCGUGUCGUGAGAUGUUGGGUUAAGUCCCGCAACGAGCGCAACCCUUAAGCUUAGUUGCCAUCAUUAAGUUGGGCACUCUAAGUUGACUGCCGGUGACAAACCGGAGGAAGGUGGGGAUGACGUCAAAUCAUCAUGCCCCUUAUGAUUUGGGCUACACACGUGCUACAAUGGACAAUACAAAGGGCAGCGAAACCGCGAGGUCAAGCAAAUCCCAUAAAGUUGUUCUCAGUUCGGAUUGUAGUCUGCAACUCGACUACAUGAAGCUGGAAUCGCUAGUAAUCGUAGAUCAGCAUGCUACGGUGAAUACGUUCCCGGGUCUUGUACACACCGCCCGUCACACCACGAGAGUUUGUAACACCCGAAGCCGGUGGAGUAACCUUUUAGGAGCUAGCCGUCGAAGGUGGGACAAAUGAUUGGGGUGAAGUCGUAACAAGGUAGCCGUAUCGGAAGGUGCGGCUGGAUCACCU